This 253-nucleotide ribosomal RNA is filed under the name uncultured bacterium. Its description in RNAcentral is "partial 16S ribosomal RNA". It matches the Rfam family "Bacterial small subunit ribosomal RNA", at positions 524 to 776 of the family's 1533-position model. The record is from RNAcentral.
UACGUAGGUGGCGAGCGUUGUCCGGAAUUACUGGGUGGAACGGGCGUGUAGGCGGGUCGGCAAGUCAGUUGUGGAAUACCACGGGUCAACUGUGGGGGUGGAUCUGAAACUGCCGAUCUUCUGUGCUCGAGAGGAAAGAGGAAUUCCACGUGUAGCGGUGAAAUGCGUAGAUAUGUGGAGGAACACCAGUGGCGAAGGCGGCGGUCUGGACAGUAACUGACGCCGAGGCGCGAAAGGGUGGGGAGCAAAUAGG